GGACUACCGGGGUAUCUAAUCCCGUUUGCUCCCCUGGCUUUCGUGCCUCAGCGUCAGGAAGUGUCCAGAGACUCGCCUUCGCCACAGGUGUUCCUCUCGAUAUCUACGCAUUUCACUGCUACACCGAGAAUUCCAGUCUCCCCUCCACUCCUCGAGCCGAAUAGUAUCCAAUGCCGUUCCGCAGUUAAGCUGCGGGAUUUCACAUCAGACUUACCCGACCGCCUACGCACCCUUUACGCCCAGUGAAUCCGAACAACGCUCGGGACCUCUGUAUUACCGCGGCUGCUGGCAC
RNAcentral lists this ribosomal RNA (292 nucleotides) under uncultured Verrucomicrobiota bacterium. RNAcentral's name for it is "uncultured Verrucomicrobia bacterium partial 16S ribosomal RNA". Lineage: Bacteria; Pseudomonadati; Verrucomicrobiota. The record is from RNAcentral.